This 492-nucleotide ribosomal RNA is filed under the name uncultured bacterium. RNAcentral's name for it is "partial 16S ribosomal RNA". It matches the Rfam family "Bacterial small subunit ribosomal RNA", at positions 29 to 507 of the family's 1533-position model. The record is from RNAcentral.
AGUGAACGCUGGCGGUAGGCCUAACACGUGCAAGUCGAACGGCAGCACAGUAAGAGCUUGCUCUUACGGGUGGCGAGUGGCGGACGGGUGAGGAAUACAUCGGAAUCUACUUUUUCGUGGGGGAUAACGUAGGGAAACUUACGCUAAUACCGCAUACGACCUACGGGUGAAAGCAGGGGAUCUUCGGACCUUGCGCGAUUGAAUGAGCCGAUGUCGGAUUAGCUAGUUGGCGGGGUAAAGGCCCACCAAGGCGACGAUCCGUAGCUGGUCUGAGAGGAUGAUCAGCCACACUGGAACUGAGACACGGUCCAGACUCCUACGGGAGGCAGCAGUGGGGAAUAUUGGACAAUGGGCGCAAGCCUGAUCCAGCCAUACCGCGUGAGUGAAGAAGGCCUUCGGGUUGUAAAGCCCUUUUGUUGGGAAAGAAAAGCAGCAGGUUAAUACCCCGCUGUUCUGACGGUACCCAAAGAAUAAGCACCGGCUAACUUCGUG